UGUAGCUCUAAACUCUACUUCACAAUGGUGGAUGAGACAGAAGAUAUUGAUGUCUUCCAAGACCACACAGAAACCAGAUCUUGCACUAGGGAGGAAGGAGGAUUCUUGGAUCCCAAAUGAAGCUGUCCUUCACUUCUUCAUUGGGACUCCAAAGUCAAACUUGAAAAGGGAUGUUGGUGUUGACCUAAAUUUUAGUGUCCUGCAGAAGAAAUUCAGAAUCAAAUUUAUACAACCGAAGAAGAAAAUCGAGAUAGAUGGU
RNAcentral lists this long non-coding RNA (259 nucleotides) under Apteryx rowi (Okarito brown kiwi). RNAcentral's name for it is "lncRNA (ENSARWG00000010912.1)". The record is from RNAcentral. Lineage: Eukaryota; Metazoa; Chordata; Aves; Apterygiformes; Apterygidae.